UGACCGAGAUAAUGAUAGUUUUAUUCUUGCUAUAAUACUUAUUAUAAUUUAAUAUUAUAUGUUAAUUUUUGUGAAAUUAUUAUCUUGAUGAUGUAAGGUUAAAUAUUUGCAGUAAUAAGUGUUAAUUAUGAAAGAAAUUUUGAAUUAGUUAUUUUUUUUAAUUUUGAUUAAAUAUGUGCCAGCAAUCGCGGUUAUACAUAGAAUAUAAGUAAGUAUUUUUAUUUUGUAGUUAUUUAAUUUACUUUGGAUAAAAUUUAUUAGUUUUUAGGUAAAAUUUAAUUUUAAAGAUUUAUUUAAUUAAGAGAAAUGAGGCUAUGAAAUCUAAUAAUUUAAACUAGGAUUAGAUACCCUAUUAUUUUAGAUUUAAAUUUAUUAAUUUGAGUAGUAUUAGUUAUGAUCUUGAAACUUAAAGAAUUUGGCGGUAUUUUAGUCUAGUUAGAGGAAUCUGUCUCGUUAUCGAUAGUCCGCGUUGAACCUUACUUGAUUUAUUUGACAUGUAUACCGCCGUUUAAUUGAAAAUCUUCUUAGAAUUAAUUUUCUUUAAAUAAAAUUUUAUUUUAUUUCAGGUCAAGGUGCAGUUUAUAAUUAAGUGAUGAUGGAUUACAAUAUUUACAAAAUAUGAUGGAUUAUAUUUUGAGAUAAUUUUAUGAAGGAGGAUUUAAUAGUAAUUAAUAAUAAGAUUUAUUUUUUUGAUAUUAGCUCUAAAUUGUGUACACAUCGCCCGUCACUCUCGUAUUAAUAUGAGAAAAGUCGUAACAAAGUAGGUGUACCGGAAGGUGCAGCUAGACUAAGGAU
This 795-nucleotide non-coding RNA is filed under the name Salganea incerta. Lineage: Eukaryota; Metazoa; Arthropoda; Insecta; Blattodea; Blaberidae. The record is from RNAcentral.